GGCUCAGAACGAACGUUGGCGGCGUGGAUUAGGCAUGCAAGUCGAACGAGAACCGGGUAGCAAUAUCCGGGGAAAGUGGCGAAAGGGGCAGUAAGGCGUGGGUAACCUACCCUGGGGUUGGGUAUAGCCGGUCUAACGACCGGGUAAUCCCCAGCGACGUCAUUCGGGGGCAUCUCCGGUUGGCCAAAGAUUUAUCGCCCCGGGAGGGGCCCACGUGAUAUUAGCUUGUUGGUGGGGUAACGGCCCACCAAGGCAAAGAUGUCUAGCGGGUGUGAGAGCACGACCCGCGCCACUGGCACUGAGACACUGGCCAGACUCCUACGGGAGGCUGCAGUCGAGGAUCUUCGGCAAUGGGCGCAAGCCUGACCGAGCGACGCCGCGUGUGCGAUGAAGGCCUUCGGGUUGUAAAGCACUGUCGAGGGGGAGGAAGCCGAAAGGUUGACCUAUCCCUGGAGGAAGCACGGGCUAAGUUCGUGCCAGCAGCCGCGGUAAGACGAACCGUGCAAACGUUGUUCGGAAUCACUGGGCUUAAAGGGCGCGUAGGCGGGCCAGCCAGUCUGUGGUGAAAGCCUCCAGCUUAACUGGAGAAGUGCCGUGGAUACUGCUGGCCUCGAGGAGGGUAGGGGCAUCUGGAACGGUCGGUGGAGCGGUGAAAUGCGUUGAUAUCGACCGGAACUCCGGUGGCGAAGGCGAGGUGCUGGGCCCUUUCUGACGCUGAUGCGCGAAAGCCAGGGGAGCAAACGGGAUUAGAUACCCCGGUAGUCCUGGCCCUAAACGUUGAGGACUAGGUAGUGGACUUAACAUGGGUUCACUGUCGGAGCAAAAGUGCUAAGUCCUCCGCCUGGGUAGUAUGGUCGCAAGGC
This 863-nucleotide ribosomal RNA is filed under the name uncultured bacterium. RNAcentral's name for it is "bacterial SSU rRNA". It matches the Rfam family "Bacterial small subunit ribosomal RNA", at positions 21 to 894 of the family's 1533-position model. The record is from RNAcentral.